GAUACUGGGAGUGCAGGAAUGGGUAUUCUCCUGAGGACAAACAAGUAGCUGGCUCCACAAGAAAGUAGCCUGAUAGCUGAAGGAUCUGCCACUGCUUCUACUUUUGAAAUUCUAGGAACCAAAGAUCUGCAGUUCUUCUCUUCAUUUCCUGCCUUUGGAUCAAAGUCCCUUCGACCAGUUAGAUGUUCACAAACAUCUUCAGCCUCUCCCUGAAGGAGUCGAUGGUCCCCACAUCCUUCAAGGCGUCUACCAUCAUUCCCGCCCCCAAGAAAUCGGUGGUCUCAUGUCUAAAUGACUACCACCCUAUCGCACCAACAUUAGUCAUCAUGAAGUGCCUUGAGCAGCUGGUCAGAAGGCACAUCUGAUCCUCCCUCCAUGACUUGCUGGACCCUCUCCAAUUUGCCUACAGAAGAAACUGAGUUACAGGCGACGCCGUGGCAGCACACAGAGCCCUCACUCAUCUGGAAAAAUGAAAC
Long non-coding RNA from Oreochromis niloticus (Nile tilapia), 476 nucleotides. RefSeq lists it as uncharacterized. The record is from RefSeq and is a predicted model, not a curated record. The transcript is spliced from 3 exons. NCBI's taxonomy places the organism in Eukaryota, Metazoa, Chordata, Actinopteri, Cichliformes, Cichlidae.